This 485-nucleotide ribosomal RNA is filed under the name Bacillus pumilus. Its description in RNAcentral is "bacterial SSU rRNA". It matches the Rfam family "Bacterial small subunit ribosomal RNA", at positions 20 to 488 of the family's 1533-position model. The record is from RNAcentral. Lineage: Bacteria; Bacillati; Bacillota; Bacilli; Caryophanales; Bacillaceae.
UGGCUCAGGACGAACGCUGGCGGCGUGCCUAAUACAUGCAAGUCGAGCGGACAGAAGGGAGCUUGCUCCCGGAUGUUAGCGGCGGACGGGUGAGUAACACGUGGGUAACCUGCCUGUAAGACUGGGAUAACUCCGGGAAACCGGAGCUAAUACCGGAUAGUUCCUUGAACCGCAUGGUUCAAGGAUGAAAGACGGUUUCGGCUGUCACUUACAGAUGGACCCGCGGCGCAUUAGCUAGUUGGUGAGGUAACGGCUCACCAAGGCGACGAUGCGUAGCCGACCUGAGAGGGUGAUCGGCCACACUGGGACUGAGACACGGCCCAGACUCCUACGGGAGGCAGCAGUAGGGAAUCUUCCGCAAUGGACGAAAGUCUGACGGAGCAACGCCGCGUGAGUGAUGAAGGUUUUCGGAUCGUAAAGCUCUGUUGUUAGGGAAGAACAAGUGCAAGAGUAACUGCUUGCACCUUGACGGUACCUAACCAGAA